CUCUCUCAAACCCUCGGGUUUGGUAUUGAGUGAUACUCUUAGUCGAACUAGGCGUUUGCUUGAAAAGUAUUGGCACGAGUGGUACUAAAUAGUACUGACAGAAUAUUUCAAUGUAUUAGGUUUAUCCAACUCGUUGAGUCUUCUGGCGGUGAAUUUUUGGUAUAUUGGCUUUGCCUUACAAAACAACAAACAA
RNAcentral lists this unclassified non-coding RNA (193 nucleotides) under uncultured Scheffersomyces. RNAcentral's name for it is "sequence contains ITS2". Lineage: Eukaryota; Fungi; Ascomycota; Pichiomycetes; Serinales; Debaryomycetaceae. The record is from RNAcentral.